This 29-nucleotide small RNA is filed under the name Bombyx mori (domestic silkworm). RNAcentral's name for it is "ovarian small RNA-37518". The record is from RNAcentral. Lineage: Eukaryota; Metazoa; Arthropoda; Insecta; Lepidoptera; Bombycidae.
UUCUGAAGUAUGGAUUCCGAUUUGAGAAA